RNAcentral lists this transfer RNA (71 nucleotides) under Ratufa bicolor melanopepla. Its description in RNAcentral is "tRNA-Phe". It matches the Rfam family "tRNA". Rfam says of the family: Transfer RNA (tRNA) molecules are approximately 80 nucleotides in length. Their secondary structure includes four short double-helical elements and three loops (D, anti-codon, and T loops). Lineage: Eukaryota; Metazoa; Chordata; Mammalia; Rodentia; Sciuridae. The record is from RNAcentral.
GUUAAUGUAGCUUAAACUUUAAAGCAAAGCACUGAAAAUGCUUAGACGGGUUGACCAACCCCAUAAACACA